This 401-nucleotide unclassified non-coding RNA is filed under the name soil metagenome. Its description in RNAcentral is "partial contains 5.8S ribosomal RNA, internal transcribed spacer 2, and large subunit ribosomal RNA". The stretch from base 1 to 121 matches the Rfam family "5.8S ribosomal RNA", at positions 35 to 154 of the family's 154-position model. The record is from RNAcentral.
GAUGAAGAACGUAGCGAAAUGCGAUAAGUAAUGUGAAUUGCAGAAUUCAGUGAAUCAUCGAAUCUUUGAACGCACCUUGCACCCUUUGGCUAUUCCGAAGGGUAUGCCUGUUUGAGUAUCAUGAACACCUCAACUCUCAUGGUUUGCCAUGAUGAGCUUGGACUUUGGGGGUCUUGCUGGCCUGUGGUCAGCUCCUCUCAAAUGGAUUAGCUUGCCAGUGUUUGGUGGCAUCACAGGUGUGAUAACUAUCUACGCUUGUGGUUUUCCACCAGGUAACCUUCAGCAAUGGGGGUUCGCUGGGGCUCAUAAAUGUCUCUCCUCAGUGAGGACAGCUCUUUGAACGUUUGAUCUCAAAUCAGGUAGGACUACCCGCUGAACUUAAGCAUAUCAAAAGCGGAGGA